GACUGGGCUAAGUGUUCGCUACGCGGGGCUACCGGAUCGGUCGGAAAUGGCAGAGGUGGAGGAGACACUGAAGCGACUGCAGAGCCAGAAGGGAGUGCAGGGAAUCAUCGUCGUGAACACAGAAGGAGGCUGGCAGCCCUUGGGACACUGUGGAGGCAGGAGCAGGCCCCCUGCUCAGGGCUGCCCCUGAUCAGUUGGGUGGCCUGAGGCAACUCCUUUCCCCGCUUCAGCCCUCAACUGCCUCAAGUCCUGUGAUGGUCCAGGGAAUCUCUUUUGGGCACUUCUUGCUCUAAGACCUGAAAGACUUUUGUCUAAGAGAGAAACUGUCUUCUGGGACUGGACAUUUUGACUCCAAGGAGACAACCCCAGGGGCCAACAGCCCCAGCUGUGACCCCCAGGCUUCCACAUGAACUCACAAAGGAGAGGCCCUCAUUCUUGCCUUAAAACUGCCCCUAAAGCCAAGCCUUUUCACUGGGAAGCCCUAGCUGCUUACCUUUUGGAUACUAGCAUUCCCAUCAAGAGCACCAUGGACAACCCCACCACCACCCAGUAUGCCAGCCUCAUGCACAGCUUCAUCCUGAAGGCACGGAGCACCGUGCGUGACAUCGACCCCCAGAACGAUCUCACCUUCCUUCGAAUUCGCUCCAAGAAAAAUGAAAUUAUGGUUGCACCAGAUAAAGACUAUUUCCUGAUUGUGAUUCAGAAUCCAACCGAAUAAGCCACUCUCUUGGCUCCCUGUGUCAUUCCUUAAUUUAAUGCCCCCCAAGAAUGUUAAUGUCAAUCAUGUCAGUGGACUAGCACAUGGCAGUCGCUUGGAACCCACUCAGACCAAUCCAGUGACCGUGUGUGGGCUGGCGGCUUUUCCUCCCCCACCAACGGAACCCCUGUGUGCACCAACCUUCCCCAGAGCUCCGGAGGGCCCUCUCCUCACUUCCAGGUUUUGGAGCAAGAGCUUGCAAGAAGCCCGCACCCAGCUUCCUUCUGACCUUCAGUUCACUUUGUCGCCCUUGGAGAAAGCUGUUUUUCUUUAACUAAAAAUAACCAAAAUGCUUA
RNAcentral lists this small RNA (1053 nucleotides) under Pan troglodytes (chimpanzee). RNAcentral's name for it is "processed transcript". Lineage: Eukaryota; Metazoa; Chordata; Mammalia; Primates; Hominidae. The record is from RNAcentral.